UCUCUUUAGUCUUUGCCUAAUCUUCAGUUUCUUUUUUUCCAUCAUCUUCUGAACUUUCUUUCCCUUUUCAAAAUUUCUUCAAAAUUUCCAUUUUCUUAGCUAAAUUUCGCGGUUGUUGAAGGAAAGAUGAAACUUUUAGUUUAUAAUUUUCGUCAAACUCCAACUUCUUUCUGAAUUUUACCAAUGUCGAGGGAAAGAUUGAAACUUUUAGUUGAAAAUUGGAAAAAAAAAUUUACAGAGGAGAAAGAUUCUUUUACAGUUUUUCCUCUCAGUUAUGACCAUUAUGUGUUCGCGUGCUUGUGCAGCAUCAAGUGCGGUAAGUGGUAACUGGUAAGUUACCCUUACCUGGUUUAUUUAGGUUCUAUCUGGAAUGAUUUUGGCUUUAUUACUCAAUCUUUGGAUAUUAUGAGCGUUUUGAAGUUGUCAUUUUAAUGAAUAUGUAAGGUUAUAUUUGUCUCUAGAAAUUCUCUUGAAUUGUUUGUGCUUGAACCUAAUAAGGAGCCACAAGAUGAUAAGGGGAAAGAAGAUGAUAAAGUUAUACUCCCUCGGUCCCACUGUAUGUGAGACGAUUCGGAGCACGAGGGUCAAAGUAUCUAAUUUUUGGUGUGAAUUUGGACAUAGAACCUUAAAAAUUUUGAUUUUUUUUUACAUAUUUAAAUGAUACAUAAAAAAGUAAAAGGUGUGACGAUAUUAGCAUACAAUUUUAACAAAACUAUUUUAUAUGCCAUGUAUACAUUAAGUAAUGUGAAUAUCACUAAAGGAGUAUUAGUCGAAUGUUAUGGCCAGUAGUUUGGCAUGUCGCCUAUCGAAUAUUUCGUACAAGUCUUUUGCUUUGACAUUUUUUAGUAAUACUUUUCCUCCCUUUAGUGUCAAAUUAGCCGAAUUUAUUUAGAUGUGAGUAUUCACAGUUUGUACACUAAAUCAAUAUUGUUAGAAGUUAAAGAGUCAUCUAAUGUGUUUCUCACUCUUAAGUUUCUUAUAUUUCUCAUAUCAACGAAACUAUGUACAUCUUCAUAAUCACAUUUAUGUACAACAGAAAUUUUAAUAGUGCUACUUUUCAUAGGUACGAGGAAAGCCUAUCAAAUUGCGGGUUCAUAGAAAAUUAGAAAAGGAUAAUUACUGUCUCAAAUAAUUGCUUCCAGGUCCAUCUUUUGACUUUGGUAUUUGCCUUUUCCAGUGUUCAUUCAAGUUGGGAAGUUGGAUGCUAAAGCAGUUCGUCCUCUGGUUAUCAUCUUUAUAUAUUGUAGACUACAAAACUUGAAUGAAUUAUAAUAUUGUCUGGUAUCUUUGUUUUUGCUUUUUGCCUAUGCCAGGUGUUUUUCGAGUUCACUGGUGUUUCAUAAAGAAUUGCUUUCAUGUGCAGAUUACGUGAUUUAGCUAAGUCUGAUGUGAAAGUAUUCACUCAAAUCAACUAAAGGAAUCAAUAACAAGGUACAUACUGAAUAAAUACAAAGAUGAUUGUCGCUCAAAUUGAUUAAGUCAGUGAGGACUUCUAACUUUCGGACCUCCAAGGGACAAGAUCAACAAUUAUAAUAUCUGGAUUGCUUAUUUAUUUGCUUAUAUAUAGUGUAUUGUUAAUUGCACGCGUCUUCAUUCUUUAUCUUUUGUUAUUUAAUUCUGCAGAUGUUGGAUUGAGCAAGUCAAUCUGGCAAUCAAAUUCUAUUCUUAGUGUAUGCCAAAUUUGAUUAUGUCUCUUAAGGCAUUUAGUCAAGAAUUCUUUAGAGAAGGUACGUAGCCUCUUCUUUGAGUGCAUAAUGUUGAUGAGAAAUAAAAAGGAAUAUCGAAAAUUUGAGUGGCUGAAGCUGAAGCAGAUACUUUCGAAGUUAGUGAUUCGAUCUUUUGAUAAUCCAUUUUUUGAAAACUUUCAGCUAUCAAGGAGACGAAAAGCUAUGUGAAGUAAAAGAGUAAAGGGUCGGAGAUGCCCUUGUAGAUCACCUACCCAGCUUUGGAAGGACAUGGGUGGAUAAUUAUCACCGGAUUUGAUCCAAAAAACAGAGGGCGUAGUUACCUUAUUCUUUUGGGAAGGUGUUCUUCUACUGGAGUUUCUGAUGACAAGAAGAUCAGUGAGGAGCAAAUGGAAAGCUAUUGCUUGGUUGAUUAUCAAAAAUCGAUGUUGAGAGCUACUGUCACUUUAUUGAAAAUGUUAAUCUAAUUGCAAGUUCUUUGUUUGCUUGUUCUGUAAUACCAACAUGACGGGUAACAAUGACAAAAAGGUUGAGAGUAAUGCCUGUUUCACGUUGUGUCAUAUGAGAGUAUACCUCCAGCUAAAGAAUAUAGUGACUUUUCGUCUUUCUGUGUGGAUGUUAUGCCUGCUUUGGCAUCUCAUUUGAGAUUUGUUCAUUUUUAGCGGAUAGCACAUAUGUUCAAGAGCUUGAAAUGUACCUACUGUAUAUUUUUAAGAAUCCUAGAGUCUUUGCUCUCACUAAGGAGAUAAAAGAUUCUUUCGACUUUACAUUGAUAGCUUUUUUUAAUUAUUUAUGGAAGGCUACAAUCAGUCUCACA
Molecule: long non-coding RNA, 2502 nt
Organism: Lycium barbarum (goji berry)
Lineage: Eukaryota; Viridiplantae; Streptophyta; Magnoliopsida; Solanales; Solanaceae
Exons: 3
Source: RefSeq, a predicted model, not a curated record